UACGUAGGGUGCGAGCGUUGUCCGGAAUCACUGGGCGUAAAGGGCGCGUAGGUGGUGGCUUAAGCGUGCGGUGAAAGCUCGGAGCUCAACUCCGAGUCGGCCGUGCGAACUGGGCUCACUGGAGCAUAGUAGAGGCAGGUGGAAUUCCGGGUGUAGCGGUGGAAUGCGUAGAGAUCCGGAAGAACACCGGUGGCGAAGGCGGCCUGCUGGGCUAUGGCUGACACUGAGGCGCGACAGCGUGGGGAGCAAACAGG
RNAcentral lists this ribosomal RNA (254 nucleotides) under uncultured bacterium. RNAcentral describes it as "partial 16S ribosomal RNA". It matches the Rfam family "Bacterial small subunit ribosomal RNA", at positions 524 to 776 of the family's 1533-position model. The record is from RNAcentral.